This is a non-coding RNA of Schistosoma mansoni, 45 nucleotides long. NCBI's taxonomy places the organism in Eukaryota, Metazoa, Platyhelminthes, Trematoda, Strigeidida, Schistosomatidae. The record is from Rfam.
AUCCAGCUGACGAGUCUAAAGUGGGACGAAACGCUCGUCCUCGAU